Molecule: ribosomal RNA, 353 nt
Filed under: uncultured bacterium
Lineage: Bacteria
Description: bacterial SSU rRNA
Rfam family: Bacterial small subunit ribosomal RNA
Source: RNAcentral
GACGAACGCUGGCGGCGUGCUUAACACAUGCAAGUCGAGCGGGGUCCAACUUGUCGCAAGACAAGGGAAGGCCUAGCGGCGAACGGGUGAGUAACACGUGAGGAACCUGCCCCGAAGACUGGGAUAACACCGGGAAACCGGUGCUAAUACCGGAUGUCCACCGAGGAUCGCAUGGUCUUUGGUGGAAAUGGAUUCCGCUUCGGGAGGGCCUCGCGGCCUAUCAGCUUGUUGGCGGGGUAACGGCCCACCAAGGCGACGACGGGUAGGCUGGUCUGAGAGGACGGCCAGCCACACUGGGACUGAGACACGGCCCAGACUCCUACGGGAGGCAGCAGUGGGGAAUCUUGCUCAAU